RNAcentral lists this microRNA precursor (59 nucleotides) under Heligmosomoides polygyrus. RNAcentral's name for it is "microRNA hpo-mir-10040 precursor". The record is from miRBase by way of RNAcentral. Lineage: Eukaryota; Metazoa; Nematoda; Chromadorea; Rhabditida; Heligmosomidae.
UGAAAGACAGCGACGAAGAAGAGCAAGGAUGCGACCCUUCUGCGUCACCGUCCUUCAGC